RNAcentral lists this ribosomal RNA (349 nucleotides) under Smenospongia aurea. Its description in RNAcentral is "eukaryotic LSU rRNA". It matches the Rfam family "Eukaryotic large subunit ribosomal RNA", at positions 1 to 345 of the family's 3401-position model. The record is from RNAcentral. Lineage: Eukaryota; Metazoa; Porifera; Demospongiae; Dictyoceratida; Thorectidae.
GACCUCGGAUCAGGCCAGGCUACCCGCUGAAUUUAAGCAUAUUAAUAAGCGGAGGAGAAGAAACUAACAAGGAUUCCCUCAGUAACGGCGAGCGAAGCGGGAAUAGCUCAAAUUUGAAAUCUCCGGUGCCUGCACCGGCGAAUUGUAGUCUGUAGGGCCAGUUUCGCCCGAGAYGGUGUCCCCAAAGUCGUCCUGGAAAGGCGGGCCGGAGAGGGUGAGAGCCCCGUGCGUGGGGGCACCGUCGAAGGUAAGAUCUGUGCCCGAAGAGUCGGGUUGUUUGAGAUUGCAGCCCAAAAUGGGUGGUAAACUCCAUCUAAAGCUAAAUACUGGCACGAGACCGAUAGCGAAC